This 67-nucleotide transfer RNA is filed under the name Mytella strigata. RNAcentral describes it as "Musculus strigatus tRNA-Gln". Lineage: Eukaryota; Metazoa; Mollusca; Bivalvia; Mytilida; Mytilidae. The record is from RNAcentral.
UUAAGAGGAGUAUUAUUCGUACAUAAAGUUUUGAUCUUUAAGGUGAGGUUAGUUCCCUUCUCUUAAG